GAAAAGUUGGUGAGCUCUGGAUAACUGAGCGGAUCGCAUGGCCUUGCGCCGGCGACGUAUCUUUCAAGCAUCUGCCCUAUCAACUGUAGAUGGUAGUGUAUUGGACUACCAUGGUGGUAACGGGUAACGGAGAAUCAGGGUUCGAUUCCGGAGAGGGAGCCUGAGAAACGGCUACCACAUCCAAGGAAGGCAGCAGGCGCGCAAAUUACCCAUUCCCGGACUCGGGGAGGUAGUGACACGGAUAAAUAACGGUGCAGAGCUAUUUUAGUUUUGCAACCGGAAUGAGAACAAUCUAAAUCCUUUAUCGAGGAUCAAUUGGAGGGCAAGUCUGGUGCCAGCAGCCGCGGUAAUUCCAGCUCCAAAAGCAUAUGUUAAAGUUGCUGCAUUUAAAACGCUCGUAGUUGGAUUUCUGACCCUCCCGCGGUGGUCGGCCUCGCGGCCUGUACUGCCCGGGAGGUCGUCAAUGCCUGGUGGUCACAACUCGGUGCCCUUCAUUGGUGUGCCCUGGGGUACCGCCGAUCUUACUUUGAAAAAAUUAGAGUGCUCAAAGCAGGCCUGCGCCUGUAUACUUCAGCAUGGAAUAAUAGAAUAGGACCUCGGUCUUAUUUCGUUGGUUUUAGAGUCCGAGGUAAUGAUUAAUAGGGACAGACGGGGGCAUUCGUAUUGCGCCGGGAGAGGUGAAAUUCUUGGAUCGGCGCAGGACGGACUAGAGCGAAAGCAUUUGCCAAGAAUGUUUUCAUUAAUCAAGAACGAAAGUUGGAGGAUCGAAGGCGAUCAGAUACCGCCGUAGUUCCAACCAUAAACGAUGCCGACCAGCGAUCUGCGGGCGUUUCAUGAUGACCCCGCAGGCAGCCCAUGGGAAACCAGAGUCUUCGGGUUCUGGGGGGAAUAUAGCUGCAAAGCUGAAACUUAAAGGAAUUGACGGAAGGGCACCACCAGGAGUGGAGCCUGCGCCUUAAUUUGACUCAACACGGGAAAACUCACCCGGCCCGGACACAGUAAGGAUUGACAGACUGAGAGCUCUUUCUCGAUUCUGUGGUAGGUGGUGCAUGGCCGUUCUUAGUUGGUGGGGUGACUUGUCUGGUUAAUUCCGAUAACGAACGAGACUCCAGCUUGCUAAAUAGGGGGUCCGCGUGCGCAUGCGUGGGCCAGGUCAUUUUCCUUCUUAGAAGGACGACCAGCGUCUAGCUGAUUGAAAUGGAGCAAUAACAGGUCUGUGAUGCCCUUAGAUGUUCGGGGCGCACGCGCGCUACAAUGGAAGGCUCAGCGGGUGUGACUUCCCUGCGCCGAGAGGGGGGUUAACCCUUUCAGAACCUUCCGUGCUUGGGAUAGCGGUUUGCAAUUGUCCCCCUUGAACGAGGAAUUCCCAGUAAACGCAAGUCAUAAGCUUGCAUUGAUUACGUCCCUGCCCUUUGUACACACCGCCCGUCGCUACUACCGAUUGAGUGACCCGGUGAGCUCAUUGGAUCUUGGGUCGUUGGGGCAACCCGGCGAUCCGACGAGAAGCUGCGCAASCGUAUCACUUAGAGGAAGUAAAAGUCGUAACAAGGUUACCGUAGUGAACCUGCAGAUGGAKU
Molecule: ribosomal RNA, 1577 nt
Filed under: Meara stichopi
Lineage: Eukaryota; Metazoa; Xenacoelomorpha; Nemertodermatida; Nemertodermatidae
Description: SSU rRNA
Rfam family: Eukaryotic small subunit ribosomal RNA
Source: RNAcentral